This 3294-nucleotide long non-coding RNA is filed under the name Salvia miltiorrhiza (redroot sage). Its description in RNAcentral is "long non-coding RNA (SMIL_LNC008214)". The record is from RNAcentral. Lineage: Eukaryota; Viridiplantae; Streptophyta; Magnoliopsida; Lamiales; Lamiaceae.
GAAAAAAGCGAACAUUAUUUUCAUUUUUUGCUAGAAUGGCACAUCAAAAGGCAAAAGCAGCAGAGAACCAAAUGCUACCGCAAAAUGAUGUGGCCGUUGCAACUGUUUCAAAUUUUGAACUAAAAAAGGUCACUCCUUUUCUAUCUCUCCCUCUCUCUCUCUCACUAAAGAAAAGCUCGUUCAAUGACUUCAUUUGGAAUUGAUAUUCAUCACGGUUUUUCUAUUGUUUAACUAUCAACUUUUGUUCUUUUUUUUUCUUUAACCAUCAACUUUGACUUAUUGAUAUUCAAAUUACAAGAAAUUAUACAAAUUUACAAAUAUUUCUACACCUAAAACUUAGUAAGUUCAUUGCAAAUUUGAGGUGGUUUGACGUGUGUAAAAAUAAUACUAAAGGCCAGGCACCCCAGGCCGUCGCCCGGUCAAAAUUUUUUUUUGUUACCUAUAAAUGUAUGAUUUUAAAUUUUUUUUUAUCUAUAUAUGUUAAUCUCGCCCGGUCAUAAUUGUGUCAUUUCAAAUAAUUAUUCAAGAUUCAACUCGUUUUCUUUAUUAAAACUUUAUUAGAAUCAUCCGGUGAAAUCUCGCCCGAUCAUUAUUAAAUUUCUAGAUCCGUCCCUGUUUGUGAAUUAUAUUGGUGACUGAAAGAAAAAUGAAUAUAUUAUUAUAAAAUUGAGUUAGAUUGAAUUGGGUGAGUAAAUCUCGAUAAGGUCGCAUGUAGGGCUGUCUAAAUGGUUAUCGGGUUUUGGGUAUCCAAUUAGUCGAACCGAAAUUCCCGGGUUUGGGUAUCCAAUAAUCGAAAAUUUCGGGUAAUNUCAAGCCACAUAAUCAAAUUUGUGACAGUUAUACAUAGCUUUCAAGUAUCAAAAAAUUUGUCCGAUGAUAGAUUUGAAUAAUUUUCCAAAAAUAAGUAUUAAUUAGUCAAAAUCAACUAUUCAAAAUGGAAUUGAAAAAUAGUACUCCCUCCGUCCCAGAAAUAAUGGCCCGUUUCUUUUGGGCACGGAGAUUAAGAAGUGUUGAAUUAAGGAGAUAAAUGAUGGGCCACACAUUUAAAGAUGUUAUUAGUAAAAUUAAUUAUAUUAGCUAAUCUACUUCAAUUAUGAUGGCACCACCACCAUUUCCCCUUUCGGCAACACAGCCGUCCGACCAACCACUCCGGCAACACCAACCUCCCGCCACUCCUCCACUGCCAACACCAGCAAACCCCAUCUCUCCCAUUUCUCCAAUAUGCAAAAACAGAAUUCAUCCAACGAAUUGAAACAGAAAUUCAAAUUACCAAAAAGUAAAACAGAAUCAAAAUGCAAAAGGAAAUGCAUAAUCAAAAUUCAUCCAAAAUCAAAUUCAUUCAUAAAUUCAAAAUUCAAAGGAAAGCCUCAUCAAAAAUUUGUUCCAAAAUCAAAUUCAUUCCAGAAUAAGGCUUCAUUCCAUAAAUUCAAAAUUCAUUCCAGAACAAAGCUUCAUCAAAAUUCAAACUUGAUCCCUAAAUUCAAAUGAAAAAUUAUCACAAAGCUUCAAUUCCAUAAAUCUGGAGAAGAGUGGAGAGAAAGAGGCGGCAGCGCCUUCGCCUUCGCUGGCUCGCUGCUGCUACUGCUACGAGGGUGAAGGCGGGAGCGCGGAGGGUGAAGGCAUCUCUUGCUUUCGCCACACCUUCUCCGGAGAGUGAAGGUAGGAGCGCGGAGGCGACGGCCGCCUUAGGGUUAUGCAGUCACCAGAGGGUUGAGGCGAGUGAACCGGUGGAGGGCGGAGGCGAUGGGUGGAACCGGCUAGGCUGGAGGGCAGUGAAAGGGAAAGAAAAAGAAAGAAAAAGUAGCCGCUGCUUUCGCCUCACCGUCGAAAGGUUGUGCAGAGGGGGGAUGAGGCCUACUGGUGACCGUGGUGGAGAGAUGGGAGGCGGAUUGAAGCAGUCGAGAUAUGGGAGAUAGAGGCGGUGGGGUAGAUGGAGGCGGUGGCCGGUGGAGUGAGAGAGAAAUUAAAGUAGAGAGAGAAUAAAGAAUCAAGAGAGAGGGUGAAAUUCAUUUAGGGUUAGGUAGUGAUUUAAAUUAGGAUGCUAAUUAAUUUUUUAAACCAUGCCUAAUUAUUUCUAAAAAAGGAAACAUGCCAUUAUUUGUGGGACAACCCAAAGAGGAAAACAGGCCAUUAUUUAUGGGACGGAGGGAGUAAUUGUUUUCUAAAUGACUAUUUGACCUUUUAUUAAACAUGGCAAUGCCAUGCCGCAUAGUCAGUGCUCCUAUGUAUGGCUCAUGAUCCGAAGGGUUAAUUAAGAAAUCUUACAAAUUUAAAAGUUUACCACGCAGAGUUGAAGUUUAUUCAUGUUUUUCUGAAGCAUCCGAAUAUAAUUAUUCGUUAGCACUUUUUUUUUUAAAGAAAACCAAUAAUAAUUCCUUAUUUUCCCUCUAAAAUGACUUUUAGACUCAUGAUUAAAGGAAACAUAUCUUACCUAGAGAAUUGCACUUCGUUAUCUUAUUAGUUAACACUUGACAGUGAAUAGUUCUUCAUUUAAUUAUAUUAGUACAAUUCAUGCAUAAAAUUAAAAUACAUCCAUUUGGAAUAUGCAGCAUGUAAUCUCUAACCACACGACAUUUUGUUUUACUAUAAGGAUUUUAAAACUAACUCAAGUAGAAGCAAAAAUACAUGAGCGUAAAUUAUUCCAUUAUAUUGAAAGUUAAAAACCUCAAUAAAUUUGCUAGCACCAAUCCCAAGAAAAUCCAUUAAUCCAAAUUACAGUAUAUAUUAGCUCUUAGCAUACUUGAGUCUGUAAUUACUACUAAUGUCAGCUGCCUCACAUCCUUAAAAUUUCAAAUAACUCAGCUGCGCACAAUUGAGAUAAUGUUUAUCAAUCUACAACUGCAGAAUUGAUGUUAUAUGUCACCACAUAACAUAAGAAAAAAUUCAGAUUCAACGCCAAAUUGGAAGGCGUUGAUGCAUAAACAUGUACAAUCAUUGUGCUCUACUCACUGGCUCAAGAGCUUCAACAGUAACCACACUAUUUCCUCUUAUCACCUGCAGAGAAGAAAACAAAAAAUGAAAACAAAUCAAAAGUUUAUACAUAGCUAUUCAGCAAAAAUACACCAAACGAAUCUAAUACUACUCACCACCAUGCCAAUAUCAGUUUUUUCAUUUCCAUUCACUUCAACAGUGUUGUCCACCACCAGGUUCAUAAACUGAUCGAAGCCACGAAGGGUUCCAACAACCAUACGGUUGGCAUUAAGCUUGACUGAAAAGCAGACAGAUUUGCACACUUCAAUGUCGAGGUGGACAACAACCACUUAAAGGCGCACACACAAGUUAUUUGAAAUUUUA